GACGUAGGGCGCGAGCGUUGUCCGGAUUUAUUGGGCGUAAAGAGCUCGUAGGCGGCUUGUCGCGUCGACCGUGAAAACUUGGGGCUCAACCCCAAGCCUGCGGUCGAUACGGGCAGGCUCGAGUUCGGUAGGGGAGUCUGGAAUUCCUGGUGUAGCGGUGAAAUGCGCAGAUAUCAGGAGGAACACCGGGUGGCGAAGGCGGGACUCUGGGCCGAUACUGACGCUGAGGAGCGAAAGCGUGGGGAGCAAACAGG
Molecule: ribosomal RNA, 254 nt
Filed under: uncultured bacterium
Lineage: Bacteria
Description: partial 16S ribosomal RNA
Rfam family: Bacterial small subunit ribosomal RNA
Source: RNAcentral